Molecule: long non-coding RNA, 597 nt
Filed under: Erythranthe guttata (spotted monkey flower)
Lineage: Eukaryota; Viridiplantae; Streptophyta; Magnoliopsida; Lamiales; Phrymaceae
Description: long non-coding RNA (EGUT_LNC001583)
Source: RNAcentral
UUUCUAGCUCGGCUACAAAAAUGGCUCGAAGCAUGGCAUAUGAACAAAUCUCUGUCUGGCCGCUCUUGGCUAGGUCAACUUCUAAACAUGUACAUCAUUACCUGCAUCAUAAGAACCUAAUGAGCUAAUGGCUCAGCAAGUUGAAACGGAUGUAAUAGCAAUAUAUCACAUAACACGUUAUUCAUUCAAUGUGUACAGUAUCACAUAUAACUUCAUUCGUGAUCCUUUUCUUUCAAAUCUUUCUCUUUAUCGGGUACCCUUGAAGUGUGGUACUUGACUGAUAGCAAUAGGCUUUCGUUUUCGGAACCUGCUCAUCAUAUUUGGCCAAUAGAUAAUACGGGGGUUUCCAUACCGGCCUUUCGACCUCAGGUAUUAGCCGUAUUUCAUUUCAUUAAUUGUGGGUUUUCCAUACUGGUCUUUCGACCUCAGGUAUUUGCCACCAUGUGUUGGAUCCGCCGGUUCCUCCCGCGUCCCUUGCCUACUCGACCAUCAAUCAAGUACCAUACUCCCAUUUUCAAAACAUAUUCUUUCAUAUCACUAUGACCCAUCAAUCAUUCAAACAUCAUGGAGAACACGUAGCAAAAGUCACAUUAAAGC